AAGUUUGAUGGCGACCGGCGCACGGGUGAGUAACACGUAUCCAACCUGCCGAUGACUCGGGGAUAGCCUUUCGAAAGAAAGAUUAAUACCCGAUGGCAUAGUUCUUCCGCAUGGUAGAACUAUUAAAGAAUUUCGGUCAUCGAUGGGGAUGCGUUCCAUUAGGUUGUUGGUGGGGUAACGGCCCACCAAGCCUUCGAUGGAUAGGGGUUCUGAGAGGAAGGUCCCCCACAUUGGAACUGAGACACGGUCCAAACUCCUACGGGAGGCAGCAUG
This 273-nucleotide ribosomal RNA is filed under the name uncultured bacterium. RNAcentral's name for it is "partial 16S ribosomal RNA". It matches the Rfam family "Bacterial small subunit ribosomal RNA", at positions 81 to 353 of the family's 1533-position model. The record is from RNAcentral.